Long non-coding RNA from Electrophorus electricus (electric eel), 1015 nucleotides. The record is from Ensembl. Lineage: Eukaryota; Metazoa; Chordata; Actinopteri; Gymnotiformes; Gymnotidae.
UGGACUCCUUAAUCCAGUGGCAGUGCUGUUCCAGCCUGAACUUGGAAUGUAGUCCGUGUUGAAGGAAUGAAUAUGUUCACUCAUACUGGUGGUCUUGUCUUUUCCUCAGCUCCCCCAACACCCCUGGAGCCAAUGACCUGCCGAGAUGAGGCAAGACCCCGUCGUCACUGGUCCACUGACAGCUACUGCAGCAGACUUAGGAGAGCGAAGCUUCUUACAUCACUGUGAUAAGCUCAGAGCGUUCAAACAGCUUCUGAAAUUUGAUCUAUAUCAAAGACUGACUGCUUAAUUAAAUGAGCUUAAUUAUAGGCAUCUAUGUCAUGGAAGUGAUCAGCCCAAAACACAAAGUUAUAUCAGAACUUUGCUGCGUUCUUAUAUAUUUGCCCUAAUCCGUGAACUUGAAGGAAACACCUCUGAAUACGUUAUGUCUCAGAUUCUUCUUCUGGUGUGUCAUGACGUUCAUUCGUGACUUCAAAUUUGCAUAAGAUCAACCAUUCUCUCAUUACUGAAGCUGGAGACAGGGAGCUUUAACACAGAGUGUGUGUGGAGUCCAGGCCGUUGCGUUCUACAGACACGUCUGUGUGCCUGUACAAGUUCAUGUUCUUAAUCUCAUCUGUGUGACUGCAUAAUCUCAUCUUCGUUUUACUCUCGUGUGUAUAAUUAUUUAUACUGUUUUUUUAUUUAUGCUUUCUGCAGCUGACAGCUCUGGUUGGAUGGUGAGGCUCUAGCAGACGUGCUGGUGAACAGAUGCACAUCGGAAAGCUACACAGACGCGUUUACCUGGUUAUGACCCCUUUUUCCAUCUCCCAGCCUGAAGGAUCUCCGAGUCUUAACGACGUACCCUGGAGAGCUUGCCUACUACACGCGCAUUUACAGACCUUUCAUAAUGAGGUCUUAUUUUUCCUACAUCUCAUGAAACAUGUAAGACUCCAGCUCAUUGACUUUCAUCUCUUCGGUUGGUUUUAUACGUUGACCUUACGAGACAAAUGUGUCUGGUCUUUCAUCGAAUGACGGU